Molecule: unclassified non-coding RNA, 399 nt
Filed under: fungal sp.
Lineage: Eukaryota; Fungi
Description: partial internal transcribed spacer region
Rfam family: Eukaryotic small subunit ribosomal RNA (bases 1-46)
Source: RNAcentral
AAGUCGUAACAAGGUUUCCGUAGGUGAACCUGCGGAAGGAUCAUUAACACGUAUCCAAACGUUAAAACCCCCCCCGUGUACAUUGAUUCCUGCUCUUGUAACCCGCGAAGCUUCGGAAAGUAGUUUUGAUUCAGAGACCUCUGGCCCGUGCGAAAUCACAACAGUUACAAUUCGAGCGGUAGUUCUAUAGGCCUUGUUUCCCCAAGCAGUCAGUGUCUGAAAGUGUCAGUGAUUGUGCAAGGAUAACGCUUCACGAUUCUUGUAGACCGCAUCUCGCGGGCAGGAGCUAGGCCAAAGGGUCCCCAUGCCCCCUUACAACCCCACAGUUAAAUGUGAAGCUCAAUGUAAUACAUUGGGUAAAAAACCGAACAACUGUUAACAAUGGAUAUCUUGGUUCUC